This 505-nucleotide ribosomal RNA is filed under the name uncultured bacterium. Its description in RNAcentral is "partial 16S ribosomal RNA". It matches the Rfam family "Bacterial small subunit ribosomal RNA", at positions 28 to 507 of the family's 1533-position model. The record is from RNAcentral.
GACGAACGCUGGCGGCGUGCCUAAUACAUGCAAGUAGAACGCACAGUUUAUACCGUAGCUUGCUACACCAUAGACUGUGAGUUGCGAACGGGUGAGUAACGCGUAGGUAACCUGCCUGGUAGCGGGGGAUAACUAUUGGAAACGAUAGCUAAUACCGCAUAAUUUUGAUUAUUGCAUGAUAAUUGAUUGAAAGAUGCUAUUGCAUCACUACCAGAUGGACCUGCGUUGUAUUAGCUAGUAGGUGAGGUAACGGCUCACCUAGGCGACGAUACAUAGCCGACCUGAGAGGGUGAUCGGCCACACUGGGACUGAGACACGGCCCAGACUCCUACGGGAGGCAGCAGUAGGGAAUCUUCGGCAAUGGACGAAAGUCUGACCGAGCAACGCCGCGUGAGUGAAGAAGGUUUUCGGAUCGUAAAGCUCUGUUGUAAGAGAAGAACGGGUGUGAGAGUGGAAAGUUCACACUGUGACGGUAUCUUACCAGAAAGGGACGGCUAACUACGUG